RNAcentral lists this ribosomal RNA (254 nucleotides) under uncultured bacterium. Its description in RNAcentral is "partial 16S ribosomal RNA". It matches the Rfam family "Bacterial small subunit ribosomal RNA", at positions 1246 to 1500 of the family's 1533-position model. The record is from RNAcentral.
GGAGCGAGACUGUGAAGUGGAGCAAAUCUCAAAAAAUUAGUCUCAGUUCGGAUUGCAGGCUGCAACUCGCCUGCAUGAAGUCGGAAUUGCUAGUAAUCGCGGAUCAGCAUGCCGCGGUGAAUACGUUCCCGGGCCUUGUACACACCGCCCGUCACACCAUGAGAGUCGGGAACACCCGAAGUCCGUAGCCUGACCGCAAGGGGGCGCGGCCGAAGGUGGGUUCGAUAAUUGGGGUGAAGUCGUAACAAGGUAAC